This 600-nucleotide ribosomal RNA is filed under the name actinobacterium T28-6. Its description in RNAcentral is "bacterial SSU rRNA". It matches the Rfam family "Bacterial small subunit ribosomal RNA", at positions 814 to 1411 of the family's 1533-position model. The record is from RNAcentral. Lineage: Bacteria; Bacillati; Actinomycetota; Actinomycetes.
UACUAGGUGUGGGUUUCCUUCCUUGGGAUCCGUGCCGUAGCUAACGCAUUAAGUACCCCGCCUGGGGAGUACGGCCGCAAGGCUAAAACUCAAANAAAUUGACGGGGGCCCGCACAAGCGGCGGAGCAUGUNGAUUAAUUCGAUGCAACGCGAAGAACCUUACCUGGGUUUGACAUGCACAGGACGCCAGUAGAGAUAUUGGUUCCCUUGUGGCCUGUGUGCAGGUGGUGCAUGGCUGUCGUCAGCUCGUGUCGUGAGAUGUUGGGUUAAGUCCCGCAACGAGCGCAACCCUUGUCUCAUGUUGCCAGCACGUAAUGGUGGGGACUCGUGAGAGACUGCCGGGGUCAACUCGNAGGAAGGUGGGGAUGACGUCAAGUCAUCAUGCCCCUUAUGUCCAGGGCUUCACACAUGCUACAAUGGCCGGUACAAAGGGCUGCGAUGCCGUGAGGUGGAGCGAAUCCUUUCAAANCCGGUCUCAGUUCGGAUCGGGGUCUGCAACUCGACCCCGUGAAGUCGGAGUCGCUAGUAAUCGCAGAUCAGCAACGCUNCGGUGAAUACGUUCCCGGGCCUUGUACACACCGCCCGUCACGUCAUGAAAGU